This 253-nucleotide ribosomal RNA is filed under the name uncultured bacterium. RNAcentral's name for it is "partial 16S ribosomal RNA". It matches the Rfam family "Bacterial small subunit ribosomal RNA", at positions 524 to 776 of the family's 1533-position model. The record is from RNAcentral.
UACGGAGGGUGCAAGCGUUAUCCGGAAUUACUGGGUUUAAAGGGUGCGUAGGCGGUUAGAUAAGUCAGAAGUGAAAGCUCGCAGCUUAACUGUGGAAUUGCUUUUGAAACUGUUUAACUUGAAUCAAGCUAAGGUAGGCGGAAUGUGACAUGUAGCGGUGAAAUGCAUAGAUAUGUCAUAGAACACCAAUUGCGAAGGCAGCUUACUAGACUUGUAUUGACGCUGAGGCACGAAAGCGUGGGGAGCGAACAGG